AGGGCUGUAGCUCAGUGGUUAGAGCAUCUGCUUUGCAUGCUGAAGGGCCCAAGUUCAAUUCAUUGUGGCACCUCUA
This is a non-coding RNA of Podarcis lilfordi (Lilford's wall lizard), 76 nucleotides long. The record is from the annotation of a GenBank genome assembly. NCBI's taxonomy places the organism in Eukaryota, Metazoa, Chordata, Lepidosauria, Squamata, Lacertidae.